Molecule: long non-coding RNA, 274 nt
Organism: Spinacia oleracea (spinach)
Lineage: Eukaryota; Viridiplantae; Streptophyta; Magnoliopsida; Caryophyllales; Amaranthaceae
Exons: 3
Source: RefSeq, a predicted model, not a curated record
GCAGCCUCCAUUGGAUGCUCCUUGUGAUAUGUGUUCCAAGCCACACAAUUUAUCAAUUUGAUUCUUGUCGUCGAGAUCCAUUACGAUCCGUGUUGGUCAAGUCACUAUUGAAUAAAGUGUUGAUGAAAAUGAAUGUCAAAAAAAGCGCACUUCCUCAAUGGAAAUCAGUUAAGUGCGCCCAACAAGAGGGUGGGGUCGAGUAUGGCUAUUACGUGAUGAAAUUCAUGCAUGACAUAUUCAAAAGUUGCAAGGAAGUUCAAGAUCUGGAAAAGGU